This 434-nucleotide ribosomal RNA is filed under the name uncultured bacterium. RNAcentral describes it as "partial 16S ribosomal RNA". It matches the Rfam family "Bacterial small subunit ribosomal RNA", at positions 29 to 507 of the family's 1533-position model. The record is from RNAcentral.
AGCGAACGCUGGCGGCAGGCCUAACACAUGCAAGUCGAACGAACCUUUCGGGGUUAGUGGCGGACGGGUGAGUAACACGUGGGAACGUGCCUUUAGGUUCGGAAUAACUCAGGGAAACUUGUGCUAAUACCGAAUGGGCCCUUCGGGGGAAAGAUUUAUCGCCUUUAGAGCGGCCCGCGUCUGAUUAGCUAGUUGGUUGAGGUAAUGGCUCACCAAGGCGACGAUCAGUAGCUGGUCUGAGAGGAUGAUCAGCCACAUUGGGACUGAGACACGGCCCAAACUCCUACGGGAGGCAGCAGUGGGGAAUCUUGCGCAAUGGGCGAAAGCCUGACGCAGCCAUGCCGCGUGAAUGAUGAAGGUCUUAGGAUUGUAAAAUUCUUUCACCGGGGACGAUAAUGACGGUACCCGGAGAAGAAGCCCCGGCUAACUUCGUG